GUUGGUGGUGCGUGGCCGUUCUUAGUUGGUGGAGCGGUUUGUCUGGUUAAUUCCGAUAAUGAACGAGACUCUUCCUCGCUAACAAGUAACACGACCCCCGGCAAGCGUGAAGCCUACGAUAUGUCCGAGUCAUGCGAUUCAUGAUUUUUAAUGAUUUUGUAAUAAACUUCAUCUUUUAAUCAACUAAUAUCGGCUCCCCUGGUGCUCUGUUCCUAAUUGAACUUUUUGCUUAAAUUGGCUGUUUGGGAUCACAGUUUAUGUGCAGCACGUUGGAGCUGAGCUGUAACCGGUAAGUGAUCCCACU
This 304-nucleotide non-coding RNA is filed under the name Xenopus laevis (African clawed frog). Its description in RNAcentral is "Eukaryotic small subunit ribosomal RNA". It matches the Rfam family "Eukaryotic small subunit ribosomal RNA", at positions 1273 to 1474 of the family's 1831-position model. The record is from Rfam by way of RNAcentral. Lineage: Eukaryota; Metazoa; Chordata; Amphibia; Anura; Pipidae.